Long non-coding RNA from Dermochelys coriacea (leatherback sea turtle), 461 nucleotides. RefSeq lists it as uncharacterized. The record is from RefSeq and is a predicted model, not a curated record. Lineage: Eukaryota; Metazoa; Chordata; Testudines; Dermochelyidae. The transcript is spliced from 4 exons.
UUGGCCAUUCAGCACUCUCAGUUUGACCAAGGCAGGAGUGGGGGGAGUUUUGGGUGCCACAGACAGGGCAGCUUGACCCCCCGUCCUUCCUGAUAAGAAUUCUGUUGAAGUGGCUGAUGCAUGCAUUUUCGAAGAACAGGAUGUGCCCCAUGAAUGUUUAUUGGGGCCUCAAGGCUAAAAACUCUGGAACAACCCACACCUGGUUAAUCGAUAAUCAGAAGAAACCUCUUGCUUGACUAUUGAAACUGCUUACUUAACAAGUUUUCUUUAAGGGACAUGUCAUUCUAUAACUAAUGUAUAAAUAAGGGGGAAAAGUUUGAAGUAGUUGGACUCUUUUUGGACUCUCCCUCUGGAUACAUCGUGCAGUCCCCACUGGCAGACGGAAGAUUUGGCCACUGGAAGCCUGCCGCUGUGCCACUCGAGAGCCACACUCAGUUUUGAUGCAACCUUUAGAUCUCAGC